GAUGAACGCUGGCGGCGUGCCUAAUACAUGCAAGUCGAGCGAACAGACGAGGAGCUUGCUCCUCUGACGUUAGCGGCGGACGGGUGAGUAACACGUGGAUAACCUACCUAUAAGUCUGGGAUAACUUCGGGAAACCGGAGCUAAUACCGGAUAAUAUAUUGAACCGCAUGGUUCAAUAGUGAAUGACGGUUUUGCUGUCACUUAUAGAUGGAUCCGCGCCGCAUUAGCUAGUUGGUAAGGUAACGGCUUACCAAGGCAACGAUGCGUAGCCGACCUGAGAGGGUGAUCGGCCACACUGGAACUGAGACACGGUCCAGACUCCUACGGGAGGCAGCAGUAGGGAAUCUUCCGCAAUGGGCGAAAGCCUGACGGAGCAACGCCGCGUGAGUGAUGAAGGUCUUCGGAUCGUAAAACUCUGUUAUUAGGGAAGAACAAAUGUGUAAGUAACUAUGCACGUCUUGACGGUACCUAAUCAGAAAGCCACGGCUAACUACGUG
RNAcentral lists this ribosomal RNA (497 nucleotides) under uncultured bacterium. RNAcentral's name for it is "partial 16S ribosomal RNA". It matches the Rfam family "Bacterial small subunit ribosomal RNA", at positions 28 to 507 of the family's 1533-position model. The record is from RNAcentral.